Non-coding RNA from Poronia punctata, 116 nucleotides. Lineage: Eukaryota; Fungi; Ascomycota; Sordariomycetes; Xylariales; Xylariaceae. The record is from the annotation of a GenBank genome assembly.
UCCUCCGUGGCGCAAUUGGCUAGCGCGUUCGACUGUUACGUUAGUUCCAAUCUGAAAAGAGGAAGAACACAAAACAAGACAUCGAGAGGUUGACAGUUCAAGCCUGUCCGGGGGAG